Molecule: long non-coding RNA, 449 nt
Filed under: Mytilus galloprovincialis (Mediterranean mussel)
Lineage: Eukaryota; Metazoa; Mollusca; Bivalvia; Mytilida; Mytilidae
Source: RNAcentral
GUCGUCCCUUACAAGUAAGUGCGCCAAUAUUUUUGUCUUUGAACAAUCUGCAAUUUACAAUCAAUAAAUUUAAGUCUUUGCAUAACAAUAAUAAUCUAUUUUCCAUAAUUAUCCAGACUAGAACGUUUUGUACAAAUGACUGAUGCAUCUAAGUUUACAAAGUCAAAAUUCUGCUGAAUCUCCUUGUCAAGUUGAACUGAUUCACUAACAUAGUGAUUCAUUUCAACAAAGCCAUCUUUCUUUCUGGUAUGUGCGUUAAAGUCGCCAAGAAGGCAGAUGUUGUAGUUUUUGUCGGCUGCAUACUUUAAAAUUUCAGUUUCUAUAACAUCGAAAAUGUCAAUAGAGAUAAAUUCACUGCCUUCAGGUGGUAUGUAACAUGCACCAAAUAAAACAUGUUCAUAUAAAAUAUUAUUAACAAUAAACCACAAUGCAUUUUCACUAGAACAUUC